CCAUAGCCCCGAUAGUAGCGGCAUCCUUUUUUUUCCGGAAUAAGCUUUGGCAAAAAAAGAUAUAGCGGAUAGCGGGAUCAAAC
Molecule: small RNA, 83 nt
Filed under: Epilithonimonas mollis
Lineage: Bacteria; Pseudomonadati; Bacteroidota; Flavobacteriia; Flavobacteriales; Weeksellaceae
Description: Chryseobacterium molle Flavo-1 RNA
Rfam family: Flavo-1 RNA
Source: RNAcentral